RNAcentral lists this ribosomal RNA (506 nucleotides) under uncultured bacterium. RNAcentral's name for it is "partial 16S ribosomal RNA". It matches the Rfam family "Bacterial small subunit ribosomal RNA", at positions 29 to 523 of the family's 1533-position model. The record is from RNAcentral.
AGUGAACGCUGGCGGUAGGCCUAACACAUGCAAGUCGAACGGCAGCACAGGAGAGCUUGCUCUCUGGGUGGCGAGUGGCGGACGGGUGAGGAAUACAUCGCAAUCUACUCUGUCGUGGGGGAUAACGUCGGGAAACGUACGCUAAUACCGCAUACGACCUACGGGUGACAGCAGGGGACCUUCGGUCCUUGCGCGAUUGACUGAGCCGAUUUCGGAUUAGCUAGUUGGCGGGGUAAAGGCCCACCAAGGCGACGAUCCGUAGCUAGUCUGAGAGGAUGAUCAGCCACACUGGAACUGAGACACGGUCCAGAGUCCUACGGGAGGCAGCAGUGGGGAAUAUUGGACAAUGGGCGCAAGCCUGAUCCAGCCAUACCGCGUGGGUGAAGAAGGCCUUCGGGUUGUAAAGCCCUUUUGUUGGGAAAGAAAUCCAGCUGGCUAAUACCCGGUUGGGAUGACGGUACCCAAAGAAUAAGCACCGGCUAACUUCGUGCCAGCCGCCGCGGUAA